Molecule: long non-coding RNA, 1442 nt
Filed under: Helianthus annuus (common sunflower)
Lineage: Eukaryota; Viridiplantae; Streptophyta; Magnoliopsida; Asterales; Asteraceae
Description: hypothetical non coding rna
Source: RNAcentral
UAGAAGGAUUCAAGCGCCGGUGAUCGAAGGGAUACCUAGGACGACCAUAAGGGUUACGAUUGGUUUAGUCGUAACUUCAACCACCUUCAAUCCUAGUGUGUUCAUGUGCAACAAUCGAAUUAGUCACACAUUUCAUGAUCAUGAAGGCAUCUUAUUUGUUGGUGAUAAAGACCCUAACCCUAGUUCGUCGUUUGUGGUUUUCAAUUCAAAAUUUAUCAUCAACAAGUGGUGCGCCGGAUGAAAUCUGCACCUUCUCUCUGAGAUGAAGUUUUAGGUUUAACCACUCAUAAUCAUGGAUUGUUUCUUUAUAUUCAGUUUGGGUAUUGGGAAUUUUACUUUAUUUGAAUCGAAUUCAAAUAUGUCAAAAAGGGUUUCUAGCUUUUUAUUCAAGCGCAACAUUUGUUGUUGAUUAGAGUGCUGGUGUUGUUUUAUGCAUCAAAGCAUGCUCUAUUUGGGGCUUCUUUUUCUCUGGGUUCGCUACUGAUUUUCGGUCGGUAAGGCAAGCCGCAAGGAUGCUGCUCUCUAGAGUUCUCGAUUUGUUGUUAAAAAAAAGUCUGCGAGCUGGCCUCAAGUCUCAACCAACUAUUGAGCUAGAGGAAUUCUUUCAAUCCACUUUUCUUGUCGGCUCUCGGUGAUUUGAAUCAGUUUCGGUGUUCAUGAAAGUACUGCAGCACCCCCUUUGAGAUACAUGAUGAUAAUAAUGUUCUCAAGGCAGUGAUGACCUGCCUAACAAUAGGCCCAUGGAUGGUGGUACAUGCUAGAGCCUAUCAGCCGCACUACAUCUUCGACCUGCUCUCGCUUUACAGACUACCAAACCGGCUAGACCUUAAUCUCACCUGCUCUCGCUUUUGAAGUUUUUUGGUUUUAGAGCUGGUACUUUACAAAGAAAUGAUUACAAAGAUUUUGUUAGUAAGUUAUUAACAAGUUUUACUAUGACAUUCGAGCAAUAUUAUCAUGCCAUCUGUGACCUUAUGGGUUGCCUUAUGCCUUUAUGACGGGAUAUCAACGUGAAGAUCGAGAGGAUAUUAUGGUGGCUUUUUUACCGAACAAGAUAUUAAGAGCCUACCAUGUUUACAGGUGAUGGAAAUUCCAACAACGAAGAGCUUAAGGUGAUGUCAAAAGAAGUUGAGUAUAGUCAGUUGGCUGAUGUAGAGACAAUAAGUAGUAGGUGCUGGGAACUAUGAAGUGGAAGUUUGACUACUCAGAAAACGUUAACACGAUGAUUAUUUAACUCGCAUGAAGAUUGUGAAAGAGAUUCAUGAACACAAUGAAGUUUUAAGUUUUUAUUCAUACACUUGUUAAUUUAUUUGGGUUAUAUGUUUGAUCAUUAGAUUUAGAUCCACACAUAUUAGACAUUUGAAAUCUUUGGAAGAUUGAUUGAACUUUUAAUUGAAGUGAUUAUUUUAUGAUUUCUACAUUUUACAAUUUUGUUUUUAUUUUUU